ACUGGUCAACUUUAUGCGGGCGAUGAUAAGAAAAAGCUACCUAAUGACGUGUUUUAAUACAAUACCACGAAAAUAUCAGACUUUUUUUUGCUUUUGAAAAGUAAUUACCUUACAAUUUGUUGUAUAGUUUAUAAGUAUCCGCAAUUUUGACCGCAUUUAACGAAUGUCCGUGAAACUGGAGAGAACAAUCGAACCUCGCUUUAAUAUUUGCACACACACACACACGUUACUUUAGUUUUCUUUGGAAACUAACAUAAGGAAAUUUAACAAUGGCAGUUGGAAGUUCAAGAAAUUUGCGGAUAUUGAGCUGGAUCGUUUCAAUUAUAUUUUUUAUGAUUAUCUUCUUGUAUGCCUUGAAUUGGAUGAAUGAAGAUGCAGACGAAACCCAAUUUGCAUAUUCAUUACAAUCGAUAAAGAUAUCCAAUCCAUUCACUGAAACAAACCAUCUGUAUGAGACCGGUCACCAGAAUGUUGAUUUGGAUAUAGCACACGUUUGCCCACUUAAUGGGCGUACUACAAUUCUGCUCAUACUAAUCAGUUCGGCUAUUUCGCAUGAACGUCAACGCAUGGCCAUAAGACAGACCUGGGGACAUUAUGCGGCUCGUCGUGAUAUUGGCAUCGCCUUUGUGCUCGGCCGAAGUUUAAGCGAAACUGAAAAUAAGGCACUCAGUUCGGAGAAUUAUUUGUAUGGUGAUUUGAUCAGAGGCAACUUUAUUGAUUCCUACGAAAAUCUAACACUAAAGACGAUCUCAUCUCUGGAGUGGGCAGACAAGCACUGCAAUCGUGCCAAAUACAUACUGAAGACGGAUGAUGAUAUGUUCAUAAAUGUGCCUAAGCUUUUCAAUUUUGUUGAAGAGCAGCUAAAACAUAAUGUCAAGAGAACAAUCUUUGGUCGUUUAGCUAAGAAAUCACCGCCGGUUCGAAACAAGGAAUCCAAAUAUUAUGUGUCGCCUGGUCAGUAUCGUGGAGUAUUUCCUGACUAUACUACGGGACCAGCUUACCUUAUGACAGGCGACAUUGUGAAUGAUUUAUAUGUGAAUGCAUUGAAGAUUAUCUAUCUGAAGUUAGAAGACGUUGUUAUUACAGGCAUUGUGGCGCAGAGUCUAGAUAUUAAACGUGUGCAUGUCAAUGAAUUUAGAAACACUCGAUUAUACCUCACAACAAGGAAUAUUAAAAACUCUAUUAGCAUACAUAGGAUUAGUUGUAGUGAACAGUUGAAAGUGUGGCAGAAACAGCACGAAUAGUAAUUGUUGGUAAAUUAUAUUUUAUAUUAUAUAUUAAAUUUAACGGCUGUUUUGAGAGAAUUAAAAGCUGUUCUUGCUGAAGAAUGCCCAGAACCAAAUAAAGUAUAACCAGUCCUCCAAUUGUGGAAGUGGUAUAUUCGGUAUAUUUUUUUUUUCUUUGACAAAGAGAUCGACCUGGAGCGCAUUUGUCCGCUAAAUGGCAAGAUCAGAAUGCUGAUACUAAUUGGCAGGCGAGAUUGGCAUGACAUUUGUGUUUUAUUGUCUUAUACAAUAACAUUAAGCUAUAAGACUUAUUUUGUAGCAUUUUGUAAGUACAAUAUUUUAAUUCAAAGAAUUGUUGGUAUUCCCAGUGAUUCUCAUUAUUCCCUUUUUUAUGGCUAGUAAUCGCCGCGGUGGUGAUACAACAAUAAUCAUUAAUGGUCACUCAAUUUCACAUUAAUUGGCAACGCUGUCUCAGUCAAGAAAUUAGCUCAGGCGCAAAAUAUUCGAGUUGCCUUUUGAAAAUUUUCUCUAGAAACCAAGACAAGGAAAUGUAACAAUGACCGCUGGAUGGUUAAGAAAUUUGCGGAUAUUACGUUUGCUCGUUUCAUUUGUAUUUUUUAUGAUUAUCUUCAUCUGCGCUUCAUACUCAAACACAUCGAUGUGGGGACCUCAUCUCGUAAUCCCCAUGAAAUUAAGUUGGAAUAUGACGCGGACUGUGCUGCCGAUUAUGGAAUUGAACAACACUGGAGAGUUUGGACUCUCGCAGCAGCUGUUACGGAGCCAAUCUCUAAAUAUUACUGAGCAGCAGUUGAAUAAAAAUACAGAACCCCAAAUUUCGUCUUCAUCACAAUCGUUAGAAACAUCCAAUCCAUUUACUGAAGCAAACCAGCUAUAUGAGACCGGUCACCAGAAUGUUGAUUUGGAUAUAGCACACGUUUGCCCACUUAAUGGGCUUACUACAAUUCUUCUCAUCCUAAUCAGUUCGGCUAUGUCGCAUGAACGUCAGCGCAUGGCCAUAAGACAGACCUGGGGACAUUAUGCGGCUCGUCGUGAUAUUGGCAUUGCCUUUGUGCUCGGCCGCAGUUUAAACGAAACUGAAAAUAAGGCACUCAGUUCGGAGAAUUAUUUAUAUGGCGAUUUGGUCAGAGGCAACUUUAUUGACUCGUACGAUAAUCUAACACUCAAGACGAUCUCAUCUCUGGAAUGGGCAGACAAGCACUGCAAUCGUGCCAAAUACAUACUGAAGACGGAUGAUGAUAUGUUCAUCAAUGUGCCUAAGCUUUUCAAUUUUGUUGAAGAGCAGUUAAAACAUAAUGUCAAGAGAACGAUAUUUGGUCGCUUAGCUAAGAAAUGGCCGCCUGUUCGAAACAAGAAAUCCAAAUAUUAUGUGUCGCAUGGUCAGUUUCGUGGAUUAUAUCCAGAGUUUACAACGGGACCAGCUUACCUUAUAACAGGCGACAUUGUGAAUGAUUUAUAUGUGAGGGCAUUGAAGAUGGUCUAUCUGAAGUUAGAAGACGUUUUUAUUACAGGUAUUGUGGCGAAGAGUCUAAAUAUUAAACGAGUGCAUGUUAAUGAAUUCAAAAACCGUCGAAUGAAACUCACAACAAGGAAUAUUCAAAACUCUUUUAGCAUACAUAGGAUUAGUUGUAGUGAGCAGUUUGAAGUAUGGCAGAAACAGCACGAAAAGUAAUUGUUGAUAAAAUGUAUUGUAUUAUAUUAUAUAUUAAAUUUAACGGCUGUCUUGCGUCCUGCUGAAGAUUGCGCUAUACCAAAUAAAGUGUGACCAGUCUUCCAAUUGUGGAAGUGAUACA
This is an RNA transcript of Drosophila nasuta, 3037 nucleotides long. It is a transcript of the gene named beta-1,3-galactosyltransferase 5-like, with no coding region annotated. The record is from RefSeq and is a predicted model, not a curated record. The transcript is spliced from 4 exons. Lineage: Eukaryota; Metazoa; Arthropoda; Insecta; Diptera; Drosophilidae.